RNAcentral lists this long non-coding RNA (1329 nucleotides) under Lupinus mutabilis. RNAcentral describes it as "partial ncRNA". The record is from RNAcentral. Lineage: Eukaryota; Viridiplantae; Streptophyta; Magnoliopsida; Fabales; Fabaceae.
UGUUGUCAAAGAAAUAACAAUUUAUAAUAAUAGAUAAUUUCAUUUGCAUGAGUUUAUGUUAGGUUUUAAACUCUAAUGAUUCACAUAUGAAUUGUUAAGGGAAAUUGGCUUGGAAAAACCACGGUUGCUAAUUGCACGAGACUCCUAUCUAAUGGGGUCUGGGUAGAUAUAUGUAGCCGUACUUGUGUUUCCAGUAUUUGAACCCAUGUAGGCUUAACUUUUUUUAAAAGCUAAUAUUUUAAUGUUGAAGUUGUCAAUGGAAGUGAAACUUUUCGGAACUAAGUAAAUAAUGAAUCAACAAAAGAUACAUAUGCAUGAUGCAUGCACAUGGAUAUUGUUUGCUACAGGAUAUUCACUUAACUAAAGCAUUUUGUUAUGUCGUUUUCAUAUGAUCCAGUGAUGAAUUUCAUAAUCAAGGUUUAGAAAUUGUUAUAAGGGAAUGCUUCACCUCGCAACUUUCGUUCUUCUUGCUUUUCUGUCUAUUUUAGGGCUUUUAUGAUUUAUAAUAGUAGAACAUUGGAUAUCUUUCUUUGUUUUCCUGGACUGUUAUUGAUGAGGACUGUCACAGGUGGAUGGUUCAUUUCAUUCACCAGCUUGGCAUGCUGCUCGUUUGGCCAGCCUUAACACUUCUCAUACUGUUACCUGGGAAGAGUACAAGAAGAAACAAAAGGAAGAAGAAAUGAGAAAAGGGGAGUUGGAAGCAGAUGCAGAUAAGAUGAUGAGGGAGUAUAGAGCUCAACUAGAUGCUGAAAGGGCUCAAAAACUUUCCCAUGGAAGAAAUCACUCUGGUAGUAAGUCUAAAUAUGGAAAAGAUAAAAGGGAUAUGAUUUCCAAGAAGCACAGCAGCAAAAAGAGAAAGCACUCAAGAAGAUCGUCUGCAUCUAGUUCCUCUUCCUCGUCUUCGUAUUCUUCCAGUAGUGAAGAAGAGAGGUCGUCAAGAAGAUCCAAAUCCAGAUCUAAGAGGUCAAAGAAGGAAAAGAAGGCUAAGUUGAGGCGAAAAAGUUCUGGAACAGGUAGCGACGAUGAUGGCCCGGUUCCCCUUUCAAAAUUCUUUGGGAGCGUCAAGAGUUAAUGAUGUUACUUGGUUGUGUAAUCAUAAAAUUGUUUUAUGCAAGUAGUAAAAUUCUGCUUGGCUUUAUUUUUAUGAGAUCAACGUAUUCUAAUUUGUAUGUUAUAUUAUGUGUCCCCUUUCUAAAAGAUUUGAAGUUUUAGGUUACUAAUGUUUGAGUCGUGUAGUUAGUGUGAAAUUUCAAUUUGUAAUGUUUGGGUAGUGCAAAUUGAACCUUCUGUUACAAAAUCCUAUAAAUCAGAGAAAUAGUUUUGAUGGAC